RNAcentral lists this unclassified non-coding RNA (312 nucleotides) under Hevea brasiliensis (rubber tree). The record is from RNAcentral. Lineage: Eukaryota; Viridiplantae; Streptophyta; Magnoliopsida; Malpighiales; Euphorbiaceae.
UUUUUUCCUUGAUUUUGAAUUAAAUGAUUGUGAUAUUUUAUAAGGUGCACAAUAAAGAAAAUAAAGAGAAAUUCGAGCAUCAGUUUCUUAGUACUAAAAAGAUAAGUAGGAGUGUAAAAGAACGAAGCUGCUAGAGACCUAACUCAAUAAAAUCUAAUGAGCCUAGCCUGAGCUCUUCUAAUCUAAAGAAUCCAAAGGAGGCAGCCCUCAACAGCAUAUCUGUAGUGUUGAUAAUAUUGCAAAUCUCCACCCAAAAGCAUCAUCAAAUUUUUCUCACAGAUACAAAACCUCAUUUUUUAAGUUCCAAGUCUG